GACGGAAGGUGCAAGCGUUGCUCGGAAUCACUGGGCGUAAAGGGUGCGUAGGCGGCCGUGCAAGUCUGGCGUGAAAGCCCCGGGCUCAGCCCGGGAAGUGCGCUCGAAACUGCGCGGCUCGAGUGCCGGAGGGGAGAGUGGAAUUCCUGGUGUAGCGGUGAAAUGCGUAGAUAUCAGGAGGAACACCAGUGGCGAAAGCGGCUCACUGGGUCUUUCCUAACGCUGAGGCACGAAAGCUAGGGGAGCGAACGGG
This 253-nucleotide ribosomal RNA is filed under the name uncultured bacterium. Its description in RNAcentral is "partial 16S ribosomal RNA". It matches the Rfam family "Bacterial small subunit ribosomal RNA", at positions 524 to 776 of the family's 1533-position model. The record is from RNAcentral.